UAAGGACUUCAGAAAGACUAUCGCUUUUUGUUUUCUGAACUUAGGGCUAUGUCGGCACUGCUGUUUCAGGGUGGGGUCAUUUUCAGGACUUUCGUCCCGGAUUCAGCUUUUGGCACAUAUGCCAUGUUGACCGCCAUGGUCAUUUUAUCCUAAAACAGUUGAGAUUACCUGUGGUAAAUGAAACUCAUACAAACUCAUAUACAGGUCCUAGACUAGUGAAGAUAAUUCGUGGUAUUUUAUCAACGUAUGAAUUUAAUACAGUCUUAGAAGUUGAAGACAUGGUCAUGGGUUUUAUGUUUAGGAAGAGUUCUGCUGAACUCAGUUUGAAGUUGCACUUGAUACGUUGUAUCAAGAUGUGAAAUUAUGUGAUUUAGCGUUGUAAACUGAGCGAGGGCAAUGACUAAAUUAUUCGUAUAUUGUAAUUAUUCAAUUCUUUUCAAUAAUGUAUUGUAUUCGUAGCCGUUGCCGUCCUAAAUCGUAAGGUCUCUAAUAAACCCGUCUUGACGACAAGUGGUAUUAUAUUUCCCUAUUUUUCUCUCAAAUGUAUAGAUCCUUUCACUUGGACGUGAUUCAAUUCUUGUUCUGAAAUGAAUAGAUCGGACCAACAGUAAGAAUAUCAGUAUUAUUUUUUCAUGUUUAUUAUAGGCCUAAUUCCGAAUACUCUUUGUUCCUGCCAGUGAGCUGCAUGUAUAUCUGGAGCGAGAGAUCAAGUCCAAAACGUGAAGCAAAAGAUGGAGUAUUGGACGUUUAGUCCCUUUCUAUUAUUUUUGACUACGCGGUCUGCAAGGAGUGUCCCUAAAUUUCUCAUUUUCACAUAGAUUUAAGGUUUUAUGCACCGAUCACUUGGAAUUAAAAACAGGAGUUAACUGAAAACAUUGGUAUUACAACUGUUUAAUUAAUAGUUAUUAAAAACGUCAAUGGCCGGCAUCUUGGCUUCACUUUUCUCGUAGGCCGAAUAACUGACGUUCUUGCUCCAGAUACAGGUUGUAUAAAAAAAAAGGUAAUCGAACUUCAGCGCGCUACUGUACCUGAAUUACUCUGCGUAUUCAUAAACGAGAUUUUUUCGUAUUCGGAAAGAUCAGGCUUUUAGCUGUUAACGUUGAAUGAUAUGUUAUUAUUAUUAUCAUUAUUAUUAUCAUCAAUCAGUGCACUGAGUGUUUUUGAAAAAGAAUCUUCAGCUUUUAUACAAAUGUUGGAACAUUUGAACUCAGAUAAGGCCGGUGUUAAAUAUAUAAUUAGGAAAAUCAUUAAUAUUGCACUAAGAACGACAUAUUACGUUUUCUGUUCUAGAAACAAGGACUGGUCGAAUCCAGACUUAAUGUACUUCUAGCUAGUCUCUUGCUUUUUGUAUCAUAGAAUUAUGUCCAUGUGUAGUGUAAUAAUGUAUAGUGUAUCAAGUAGCCAAUUGUAAAUUACCUUUAACAGUGAGAUUUGCAAUUGUAAGUGCAUAAAUUCAAUAAAG
Non-coding RNA from Paramuricea clavata, 1462 nucleotides. The record is from the annotation of a GenBank genome assembly. Lineage: Eukaryota; Metazoa; Cnidaria; Anthozoa; Malacalcyonacea; Plexauridae.